Gossypium raimondii (Peruvian cotton) is the source of this 174-nucleotide non-coding RNA. The record is from Rfam. Lineage: Eukaryota; Viridiplantae; Streptophyta; Magnoliopsida; Malvales; Malvaceae.
GCCUCCCAAAAGGUAAUGGAGGCAGACAAAGGUUUUCUCGGGCCGAAUGGAGAUUAGCGUUCGAGUGCAAAGGCAGAAGGGUGUUUGACCGAAGCCCCGGGGAAAGGCGGUCGUAACUAUAAUGGUCCUAAGCUUGCGAAAUUUCUUAUCGGGUAAGUUCUGACCCGCACGAAA